GCAUCUAUAGCUUAGUUGGAUAGAGCGGUGGACUUCGAAUCCAAAGGUCGGGGGUUCAAAUCCCUCUAGAUGCACCA
Molecule: transfer RNA, 77 nt
Filed under: Sarcina ventriculi
Lineage: Bacteria; Bacillati; Bacillota; Clostridia; Eubacteriales; Clostridiaceae
Also listed under: 1 other name
Description: Clostridium ventriculi tRNA-Arg(tcg)
Rfam family: tRNA
About the family: Transfer RNA (tRNA) molecules are approximately 80 nucleotides in length. Their secondary structure includes four short double-helical elements and three loops (D, anti-codon, and T loops).
Source: RNAcentral